GUGGCAGACGGAGAUGCACAUGUCUAGUCAGCCGGCAUUUUUCGAGUCGUGUUGUAAAUGUUGUUAAUUCGCCGUAAAUAUCUCUUGAUUUGUACUCAAGGGUGGAGCAAGACCCCAAGGAAGAGAGAUUGACUCAUCGGGAGCGAAGAACAGAAACGAUGGAUGGUUACGCUGCUUGGGUCUCGGCACGUUCAAAUUGGCAAAGUUCCGAAUUUGUUGCUGUGUUGUGUCCGCUUGUGCGCUCGUUAUUUGCCGUCAUCGCUCGGAGAUAUUUGCGCUGGAUGUCUUUCACUUCGUGUACAAAACUCUGCUCGCUGCGGCAUCGAAGAAGUUGUCCUGUGUUUGGGUGCACGUAUGCGCUUGGACACGGAUAGCCUGCUUGCUCUCAACGGGUGUUCAACAGUCUACGCGCGCUGGUAACUUGCUCAUGAGGCAAGUUGCUGUUGUGCUGGAGCUGAGAAGAGGUCUGCUGCCUGCAAUGGGUCCAUCUCUCUCAAGUUAUUGCAGUAUUAUAGCUCUCAAGGUUCAAAAAAAGUAUGGUGGAAGCUGUUGCCAAGGUUCCGACCAGAAAAGACAGCCAGUAUAAAAGGGUCCACGCCACUGAUCUCUACUACAGGGGAUGAACAGCACAUCGAGCGCCCUCGACUGAAGCCGGCCUUGUCCCGGAAGUUGGUGCUUGACAACUUUGCGGCAGCACUUUGUUGCACGGCCUGUGGAGACAAGGUUUCUUAGACAUGGCCGUGGCCCUCAAGGAAGAUGCCGAGGCCACAGGCAGUUCCUCCAGUGACCGUGAAAAGGUCCCCUGGGGCACAAGUCUGGUUUGGCACCCCCACCUUUCUCCUGCAGCUUUUCUGUCUACUUAGCUAACCAGCAGCAAGUUUAUCCUUGCAAGUGUUUGGAGUCAAGAACAACUUUCACCAGGAAGAAGUGCAAGACGAGUGAUUGAAGAAAAUAAAGUUGCUUCUGUGAUCUAAGAACUUGAGGACUGAAAUGUU
Molecule: long non-coding RNA, 995 nt
Organism: Dermacentor albipictus
Lineage: Eukaryota; Metazoa; Arthropoda; Arachnida; Ixodida; Ixodidae
Source: RefSeq, a predicted model, not a curated record